RNAcentral lists this ribosomal RNA (493 nucleotides) under uncultured bacterium. RNAcentral's name for it is "bacterial SSU rRNA". It matches the Rfam family "Bacterial small subunit ribosomal RNA", at positions 903 to 1397 of the family's 1533-position model. The record is from RNAcentral.
AAAUGAAUAGACGGGGGCCCGCACAAGCAGUGGAGUAUGUGGUUUAAUUCGAAGCAACGCGAAGAACCUUACCAGGGCUUGACAUAUAGAGGAAUAUAUUAGAGAUAAUAUAGCUCUUCGGAGUCUCUAUACAGGUGGUGCAUGGUUGUCGUCAGCUCGUGUCGUGAGAUGUUGGGUUAAGUCCCGCAACGAGCGCAACCCCUGUUUCUAGUUGCCAGCACAUAAUGGUGGGAACUCUAGAAAGACUGCCGGUGAUAAAUCGGAGGAAGGUGGGGAUGACGUCAAAUCAUCAUGCCCUUUAUGUCCUGGGCUACACACGUACUACAAUGGCCGCGACAGAGGGAAGCAAAGUAGUGAUACUAAGCAAAACCCAAAAAACGGUCUCAGUUCGGAUUGAAGGCUGAAAUUCGCCUUCAUGAAGCUGGAAUUGCUAGUAAUGGCAGGUCAGCAUACUGCCGUGAAUACGUUCCCGGGCCUUGUACACACCGCCCGU